This 402-nucleotide ribosomal RNA is filed under the name uncultured bacterium. Its description in RNAcentral is "partial 16S ribosomal RNA". It matches the Rfam family "Bacterial small subunit ribosomal RNA", at positions 360 to 776 of the family's 1533-position model. The record is from RNAcentral.
AAUAUUGGGCAAUGGGCGAAAGCCUGACCCAGCAACGCCGCGUGAAGGAUGAAGGUCUUCGGAUUGUAAACUUCUUUUAUGAGGGACGAAGGAAUUGACGGUACCUCAUGAAUAAGCCACGGCUAACUACGUGCCAGCAGCCGCGGUAAUACGUAGGUGGCAAGCGUUAUCCGGAUUUACUGGGUGUAAAGGGCGCGUAGGCGGGAGAGCAAGUCAGGUGUGAAAUCCAUGGGCCUAACCCAUAAACUGCAUUUGAAACUGUAUCUCUUGAGUGCUGGAGAGGUAGACGGAAUUCCUUGUGUAGCGGUGAAAUGCGUAGAUAUAAGGAAGAACACCAGUGGCGAAGGCGGUCUACUGGACAGUAACUGACGCUGAGGCGCGAGAGCGUGGGGAGCAAACAGG